GCUUACGGCCAUAUCAGCCUGGGUACACCAGAUAUCGUCUGAUCUCGGAAGCUAAGCAGGGUCGGGCCUGGUUAGUACUUGGAUGGGAGACCGCCUGGGAAUACCAGGUGCUGUAAGCA
This 119-nucleotide ribosomal RNA is filed under the name Salmo salar (Atlantic salmon). The record is from RNAcentral. Lineage: Eukaryota; Metazoa; Chordata; Actinopteri; Salmoniformes; Salmonidae.